CAGCCGCCGCGGGAAUACGAAGGGUGCAAGCGUUACUCGGAAUUACUGGGCGUAAAGCGUGCGCAGGCGGUUUGUUAAGACAGAUGUGAAAUCCCCGGGCUCAACCUGGGAACUGCAUUUGUGACUGGCAAGCUAGAGUAUGGCAGAGGGGGGUGGAAUUCCGCGUGUAGCAGUGAAAUGCGUAGAUAUGCGGAGGAACACCGAUGGCGAAGGCAGCCCCCUGGGCCAAUACUGACGCUCAUGCACGAAAGCGUGGGGAGCAAACAGGAUUAGAUACCCGCGUAGUCCCUGUCUCUUAUAC
RNAcentral lists this ribosomal RNA (301 nucleotides) under uncultured bacterium. RNAcentral's name for it is "partial 16S ribosomal RNA". It matches the Rfam family "Bacterial small subunit ribosomal RNA", at positions 509 to 807 of the family's 1533-position model. The record is from RNAcentral.